CCCGUAUUCGAAGCCUGGCCAGACAACCUGGCAACGUUGUAAAACCCAUUCUUCCACCUUCCCCUCUCUCACCUGUUACCUGUCCAACGUCCCCACCGUACGAACACCUAUGAUUGUCUCUGUUUAACCAGUACGAAAAAUCUGUUCCUCCUCGUUCGUCGUUGCCCGCGGACAAUCAGGUAAACGUAAACCCAGGCCUGGUGUACCGUCACUUCACGCUCGGUUCUUGAAUCAGUCGAGGCAACGCCGUCGAGACGCGUGCUGCUUCCACCUUUCUUCGAUCGAUCGAUCGCCGAUCGCGAGUAGGUACGACGUAGUUUCGAUUCGUGACGAUUUCGAGCGAGUUUGGAAGUUUAAAGACGACGGGAUCUUUGGGAUUUGGUUCGUGACAUAGGAAGUGCGGCUUUGCUGAGCUUGAGAAAUCGGCUCAGGGAUUCUGAGAAAAUCUAAAAAAGCCACAGGAGCUAGGAAAAAGAGAUCAUGGAAUCCUGGUUGAGCGACGUGCAGCGCGUACGAAUUCCACGGCCGAAAUUCGGUAGCGGGAACUCGGUGAGACGGUCGAAUUCCACGGUACAGCACGUGCGACCGGAAGUGCUCUCGCGGCAGACCCAGGACGUGGCUAAGGCCACAGAAGAGUUACGACAGGCUCUCCAGGACAAGCUCUGACUGGCCGAUCAUCGAUGAGGAACCAGCAAAAAUUGAUCGAGCAAAACACAUUCGAGUUCGAGAGUCACCGUUGUAUAAGAUUCUGUACCAGACCGUCGCUUUGUCGCCUGUCCACUUUCUUCCGCCAUAACCAGAGAACGAAUCGUUGUUUCGUGUUAUUUCGUGACAUGUUCCGUUCCAGACUCGCGGCAAAGCCAUUCUUGCGAAAAGGACAAUAGAACUCGACGCUCGAGGAUGAAUGUUGCCGGACUUCCGGAUUUCGCCGAGUGAUGAUGA
This is a long non-coding RNA of Bombus terrestris (buff-tailed bumblebee), 942 nucleotides long. RefSeq lists it as uncharacterized. The record is from RefSeq and is a predicted model, not a curated record. The transcript is spliced from 2 exons. NCBI's taxonomy places the organism in Eukaryota, Metazoa, Arthropoda, Insecta, Hymenoptera, Apidae.